Molecule: long non-coding RNA, 8729 nt
Filed under: Lactuca sativa (garden lettuce)
Lineage: Eukaryota; Viridiplantae; Streptophyta; Magnoliopsida; Asterales; Asteraceae
Description: long non-coding RNA (LSAT_LNC005628)
Source: RNAcentral
AAGGAAUUUCUUUGAAAAUUCAUAACUUCUUUAUCUGAUGUCGGUUUUUGCCAGACUUUUUACCGCUGGAAUACCAUUGUCGAGACCUUCGAUUCUCGUUUAGGUCAUUCCGGCCAAAAGUCGCUCGAUCUCCGAUUCGAGUUUUUAGCUGUCUGUUGCUAAGCCGAACUUGGAAAAAUCAUAACUUCGCUAUAUGAAGUCGGAUUUGGGCGUUCUUUUCACGUACGAUCAUGGUUCAAAGACAUUUAAUCAUAGAAGGAAAUUAAGUAGAACUUAUUUAUACAUUUUAUUAUGAAAGUAACUUUUUAUUAUUCAGAAGUGGUUACAAUACUUGACCCAUUUUGGUCGUUACAAAGAGUUGAAAUAUCGGGUUGUCACAUCAUCCCCCCGUUAGAGAGAAUUUCGUCCCGAAAUUUAAAGUAGUAAAGAUACUAGUGAACAUGAAAGAGAUGAGGGUACUUUUGUUUCAUCUGAUCUUCGCGUUCCCAUGUGAAUUCGGGUCCCCGCUUGGCGUUCCAGCGAACCUUCACGAUGGGUAUGCGACUUUGUUUUGUUUGUUUGACCUCUCGGUCCAUGAUUUCUACUGGUUCUUCCACAAAGUUGAGGCUCUCGUUGAUCUCGAUCUCGUCGAGUGGAAUAACAAGAGUCUCGUCGGACAGACACUUUUUCAAGUUUGAGACGUGGAAGGUUGGAUGGAUGUUACUAAGUUCGCGCGGUAGGUUAAGCUUGUAAGCCACAGGGCCGAUUCUGGCAAGAAUCUCGAAAGGCCCUAUGUAUCUUGGAUUUAGUUUCCCACGCUUUCCAAAUCGUAUUAAACCCUUCCACGGUGAGACCUUUAAUAAGACGUGGUCUCCUACCUGGAAUUCCAAAGGUUUCCUCCUUUGGUCAGCGUAGCUUUUCUGUCGGUCUCUUGAGGCUUUCAAUCGUUCACGAAUCUGAACGAUCUUCUCUGUUGUUUCACGUAUGAUCUCCGGACCGGUGAGAGUGCUUUCAGGAACUCUUCCUCUAGCUAACUGGGUAUCGCCAACUUCAGUCCAGCACAGAGGGGAUCUGCACUUUCGACCAUAGAGGGCUUCAAACGGAGCAGCCUUUAUGCUUGUAUGAUAACUAUUGUUGUAUGAAAAUUCGACAAGGGGUAAAUGAAUAUCCCAUGCCUUUCCAAAGUCAAUCACGCAGGCUCUCAGCAUGUCUUCUAAAGUUUGUAUUGUUCUCUCACUUUGUCCGUCUGUCUGUGGGUGGUAGGCUGUACUCAUGUCUAGCCUAGUUCCCAGGGAACUUUGUAGUGACUGCCAGAAUCUUGAAGUGAAUCUACUAUCUCGAUCGGAGAUAAUGGAUAUCGGAACACCAUGCAGUCGCACUACUUCCCUUAAGUAAGUUCUUGUAAGCUUCUCCAUUUUGUCAGUCUCCUUGAUGGGUAGGAAAUGUGCGGAUUUGGUCAAUCUGUCGACAAUGACCCAUAUGGUAUCGAGUCCACUUGUCGUCUUGGGUAACUUGGUUAUGAAGUCCAUAGUAAUCCGCUCCCAUUUCCAUUCCGGUAUCUCUGGUUGUUGUAGUAGUCCUGACGGUUUCUGAUACUCGACCUUAACCUUAGCGCAAGUAAGACAUUUACUCACGAAGGUAGCAAUUUCUGCUUUCAUGUUAGGCCACCAGUACAGUUUCUUAAGAUCCAGAUACAUUUUAUCUGAACCCGGGUGAACGGAAUAUCUUGAGUUGUGAGCCUCGGUCAUGACUACGUUUCUGAAACCACCAUGAUUUGGGGUCCAGAUUCGGUCCAUGAGAUAGUAGGCUCCGCCACCCUUGACUUCUAAAUUCUUCUCCAUUCCUCGCAGGGAUUCACCCGCCACAUUUUCAGGUUGCAAAGCUUCCAUUUGUGCUUCCUUAAUUUGUGUGGAUAAGUGGGAAUGGAUAGUCAUGGUCAGAGAUUUGACCCUCCGACCAGUGUAUUCCUUUCGACUGAGGGCGUCGGCUACUACGUUGGCCUUGCCAGGAUGAUAACGAAUUUCGCAUUCGUAGUCAUUCAGUAACUCAACCCAUCGUCGUUGUCGCAUGUUGAGUUCCUUCUGAUCGAAAAUGUGUUGAAGGCUCUUGUGAUCGGUGAAAAUAGUACUCUUUGUUCCGUAUAAGUAGUGCCUCCAGAUCUUCAGAGCAAAUACCACUGCUCCUAACUCGAGAUCGUGUGUCGUAUAGUUCACUUCGUGUGUCUUAAGCUGUCGGGAGGCAUAAGCGAUAACCUUCCCUCUCUGCAUAAGAACACAACCAAGUCCUUGAUUUGAAGCAUCGCAAUACACUACGAAGUCUUCUAUCCCUUCGGGGAGGGAUAGUAUCGGUGCGGUGCACAAGGCCUGCUUUAGUGUCUGGAAUGCCUUCUCUUGUUUCGCUUCCCAGUCAAAGGCCACACCUUUCUGGGUUAAUGAAGUAAGAGGUUUCGCAAUGCUCGAAAAGUUCUUUAUGAAUCUGCGAUAGUAGCCAGCUAGACCUAGAAAUUGACGAAUUUCUGUAGGUGUCUUUGGUGCCGACCAGUUCUCAAUAGCCUUAAUUUUGGAGGGGUCCACGUGUAUACCUUUCUCGCUAACAACGUGACCUAAAAAUUCGACUCUUCGAAUCCAAAAUUCGCAUUUAGAGAACUUCGCAUAGAGUUUCUCCGUUCGCAGUGUUUCUAGGACUUUUCGUAGGUGCUGACUAUGCUCUUCCUCACUUCGAGAGUAGAUAAGUAUAUCAUCGAUAAAGACGAUGACGAACUGAUCCAAGUAAGGGCGGCAUACCCUAUUCAUUAGGUCCAUAAAUACUGCUGGUGCAUUGGUUAAUCCGAACGGCAUCACUACAAAUUCGUAGUGUCCAUAACGAGUUCGGAAAGCUGUCUUUGGAAUGUCCCCCUCUAGAACUCGUAAUUGGUGAUAUCCGGAUCGUAGGUCUAUUUUGGAGAAGUAGUUCGCCCCUUGAAGUUGAUCGAAUAGGUCGUCGAUACGGGGUAGAGGAUAGCGGUUCUUGACAGUAAGUUUGUUCAGUUCUCUGUAGUCGAUGCACAUACGGAACGAUCCGUCUUUCUUCUUUACAAACAAGACCGGUGCUCCCCAAGGUGAGAAACUUGGUCUUAUGAAUCCUUUUUGAAGGAGUUCAUUAAGUUGACUGGAAAGUUCCUGCAUCUCUGCUGGUGCAAGACGAUAAGGCGACUUCGCUACUGGGGUAGCUCCUGGAAUUAAGUCGAUUCUAAACUCGACUUGGCGUUGUGGUGGUAAUCUGGUAGUUCUUCUGGAAAGAUAUCGGGAAAGUCUCGUACUAUCGAGAUGCUCUUGAUGUCCUUCCGUUCUUGACUUGUAUCAACGUGUGCGCUAGGAAUGCUCAACAAUCCUUCCGCAAGCACUUUCGAGCUUGGAUGCACGAAAUGAUGCGAAGGUUUGUACUAGAUUUGUCGCUGAAGAUAACUAAUGUUUCGUUCUUAGGGAGAUUAAGACGAACUGCUUUUUCAAAGCACAUGAUGUCGGCGCGAAGAAGACUUAACCAAUCCAUGCCGACUAUGACGUCGAAACUUUUAAUUUGGAUUGGCAUGAGAUUGAUUGGGAAAGAAUGGCCGUCUAAAGUUAACGUACAGCCCAUGUAUAUGCAGUCAGUGUUUUCGGUUUUUCCAUUGGCCAUCUCUACAGUGAAUGAUUUUUCUAACUUGCUAGGUUUAGGUUUAAGUAAAUGAAUAAAGUUUUGACUCACGAAGCUUCUCUCCGCUCCACUAUCGAAUAAUAUGCAUGCGUAUGAAUUAUCGAGAAGGAACGUACCAGCAACUAUAGUUGGGUCAGCUACAGCUUCGUCGUGGCCUAUUGCCAAAACUCGUCCCACACCUCCGGUGCCUGCUGCCUUAGGACAGUUUCUCUUGUAGUGGCCCACCUCGCCACAACCGUAGCAAGCCUGCCCUACACCCGCACCGGGAACUUGAGUGAUCGGCUUUGCGGGUUCCUUGCAGAAACGGGCUGUGUGUCCUUUCCUGCUGCAGUUGGCGCACUGCAUAUCUCGACAAGGUCCAUGGUGGUGGUAAUUGCAUUUGGUGCAUUUUGGGAGGUUGCCUAUAUAAGGCUUUGUUGGGUAGGUAUUUGUAGGGGCUGUAGCAGGUACAAUGGCAGCAUUUACUGACACCAGUUGUUUCUUUGCGGAUUCUUGGGAAGACCCACCCUUCCCUUUAAUCCACGCUCUCUUCCUGCCAUUGUUGUUGUUGUUGUUGUUGUUGUUGUUGUUGUUGUUUCCUUUCUGUGGUGCUGGUGCAGAAGUGGUUGAGUUCUGAUGACCUCCGUAGUCGAUCAGAGAUUGUGCCAGUUCCUUAGCACUUUCAAAGGUGUCAGGUUUAGAAGCUAACACGCUUGAUCGCAUUUGGGGCGUCAGUCCCCAGAUGUACCUUUCUAUCUUCUUGCUCUCGGGAGCAAUCAUAUCUGGACAAAGGAUUGCCAGUUCGCAGAAUCUGUUGGUAUAAGUAGCGAUGUCGGUACCCACCAUUCCGAGAGUCCAUAGCUCGUGUUCAAGCUUUUGAAUUUCUCCCCGUGGGCAGUAUUCUCUCAUCAUCAUGGCCUUCAAGCUCUCCCAGCUUAUGGAGUUUGCCACGAUUAGGGUAAGUACUUUAACGUGGCCAUUCCACCAAGUUAAAGCUUUAUCGAGAAGGGUGAAAGUUGCAAAUUUGACCUUGCUGUGCUCGGGGCAGGAGCAGAUUUCAAAGACUGCCUCCGUCCUUUCAAUCCACUGCCUCAGGGCCAUCACACCACCAGUACCAUAAAACAUCCGGGGCUUGGCAUUAGUGAAGUCCUUAUAGGUGCAUUCUCGAGGUGGUCCAUGACUCUCGCCAUGGUUGGAUAGGUGUGUGCCAGAUCCCGAGCCAUUAGUACUCGAGUUAUUGAUCUGUGACAUGGCAGCUGCCACCGCUGCGGUGACUGCUGCUUGAAACAUUACAGCAUCAAAUUGGGGUGGUGGAGGUGGUGGUGGUAUAGGUGCUUCCUCACCGUUGUUUCGCCUUGGAUUCCUACGCGGAGGCAUCCUUCAACUAUAGAUUGAAAAGACAAGGAUAAGAAUUUCAUAGAAUGGAAAAUGUAUGUGUCUCAUGAACUAAAUCGCUAUAGUUCAACAACAGAUGAUAGUAUGAGUCUUAAAAUAGAAGAAUGAAAGUUAUUUGUAAGACUGAAGGUAUGAAACAAGUAUUUGGGUUCACAAAGACCAUUCAAGGUUCGAACGAAAUACUCAACAUAGUAGUAAUAGUGCCACUUAUAUUAAUAUAAAAGUUGUUACAACGAUCAUGAAAAUUUGACCCCUAUAAGGGUCUCCGAUUACAAAGUUCGAGAAAUUUAAAGACUUUUAGCCGAGGUCCUAAGCUAUAACAAAAUUUGAGUCCUUGACAAGCACUACUUGCGUCGAAGGUUGCGCUUGGAGCUUGACUCCGUAUCUGAUUGCUUUGACUCCAUUAGACGCCUAUCGAAAGCGGCUUGUUGUUCCCUUAGUUCGGCGAGGGCUGCAAUCAUUUGCGCUUGAAACGCUUCGGUUUGGAAUUGAGCGUUGUCUUGCAUCUUGUCCAGCCUACGGAUGUCAGAAGUGUGAACCUGCACUUCCACGUUGAUAUCCCGGAGUCGACUAGCUUGUACUCCAGACUGAUAGGACUGAUUGGCUAACUUACCCACCAUUACCGGGAGUGCUCGAUCAGCCGAACCUCCGCCGCGGACAUCAUAGAAGUCCCGGCACAUGCCGUAGGGAGGGCGUAGGUUUUGCUGUUGGCUCCAAUGGUGGAGGUGACUUCCCCAGACGGGAGUCGGUCCUUGAAAGUUCCUUACGAAGACGGGAGGUUGAAUGGGUGGUGGAUCGAUAACUUCCGGCUCUGAGUCGGUACCGGAGUCAUCACCCACUUCUAUGGGUUCCUCGUCCUCUUCGGGAUCAUCUUCGAUCCAUCCUCCGUUGCCUUGGUUGGGAAAGUAGGGGUCGCCAGGGUGGUGAAAUCCAGCCAUUUGACUGUACGAGAAAUAGGGUUAUAAGAAUUGAAUAAAGUCGGAACAUGUAAAACAUGUAAGUUAAACUAGUUUAGAUAGCAAAUACUCCUAUAGUAUUUAAAUUCUUGUGUUUGAUUCUUGUAAUGGUUUGGUAAGUUUUGACUUGUUGCUUACUACGAUCAUUCCUCGAUAUACGUUGGUCCAAUCUUGGGCAAAUAUAGUUGAUCACGCUAUAUUUGUCCAAAAUCUGAUUACAUAUAUCGAGUCUCAAUCGUAGUGUCAACUUGUCUAAAUACUUGUAUAGUUGUAUAACAUGAAAAUAGUUUGUGGUAUGCAUGUAAUUGUACUUAAAUGAACUAUCAAUUUAAGUUGAACGAAAUGCUGCUUAAGUGUAAAAAGAAAAUUUGUUUUGUCAGAGAGUAUUAGUCCCUUAAGCAUUUAUAGUUUGUAUAUCUUAUGUGGUUCGAUAUACUUAGUUCACUAUAAACAUUGCUCUGAUACCAAUCUGUCACACCCCCAAACCUGAACGGCGGAAACGUUCGGGGGCGGAUGACUUCAUGUGGUAACGUAACAAAUGAAUACAUAGUAAAGAAAGCAAUACAACCAUCAUAUAUAUAAUUGAAAGUUUACAUUUGUCAAAAGUUACAUGUUCAAAACUCAAUUACAAUAUGAUGUCAAAAUACGAGAUUAAACUGGCGCCGCAGCAUCCCUUCAUCAAAAGCGAAAUGAAUACCUGAAAUUACUGAUUUCCUGGGACAUACAAGUAAUUUUGAAAGAGUAGAUCAGCAUUUAAGCUGGUGAAUUUCAUAAGUAUUUAAGUGACAAUGUUUGAAUGAAAUGAAAUGUUUUAUCUUUGUUUGUUUGUGUUUAGAAAAUCCUAUAUUUUCUACUAGUAUAAAAGUAGCCUUCACUCAAGACCAAUGUUUGUUUCCAAAAUGUAUGUAAAUGUAAAAUAACCAAUGAGUUUGAAAACCUUGUAAAUCAAUGCAUUUUUAAUACCCCUUGUGAGUUUUAUAACCAUACUAUUGACUCUGAAUGCCUAUACACAACGUUCUUCAGGCGUUGGAAUGUUAUGACGUUUGUCACCCCAAACGGUGGACUGCAGCUAACAGUCAGGGCGCGGGUUGUCAAGCCCGUAUAGAUCUAUACACAAACACCAUGCUCCCCCUCCAAGGGAUUCUGGUAUAUAAUACAGGACUUGAAAUGUGUACUCGAACGUACAUGAAGUUAGUGUCUCACAAAUCCGUGGUAUAAAAACAGAUCUACUUGUUAAAAUGUUACGUUUGUUCUUGUAUACGAAAGUAAACUUCUUGAAAUAUGUGUUUCUAGUACAUAAGAGUUAGAAAUCUGUUCGUAAAACUAUACCUAUUAUAGUUUCCAAAAAGCGUGUCUUGUUUGUUUAGAAAUAUUGAGAAAAGGAAUCACUUGUUUAUGAAAGUAUAGAUUUUUGGUGUAGAGUCUAGGAUAGACAAGAAAAAUCUAAGAACAGUUUAGUUUAUACAUGCAUUACAACAACAUUAUAUUUUAAAAGGUAAAAUGCUAUUGUGACAUAUGUUAUAUAUAUAUAAAAGUUCCUUUAAAGGUUUAUAAAUCGCAUGUGAUUUGAAUAUAUAACAGUAUAUAAAAGAGUUUCUUUAUGUAACACACGAUAAUACUCGUGUGUUUUACUUGUAAUCCCCCCCUUGAAAGCAUAUAAAAGUAUUUAGAAUAAUUAAAAAGGUUGAUUAAGGGGUAUGAAACUCACUUGAAAGUUUUGGAGAUAGCGAGAUGGAAAACCGGGCAGAGUUUCGUCUCGGGAAACGGAUUUUCCUCGGGAUUCUCGGGAAUCUCGGGAGUAAAAUCGACCUUCGGGACUUGAGCCAAAAAGACCAGAGCUUCGGGUUUGAACGGACACGGAAAACGAGGCAAAGUUGAGAGAGAGAGAAGAGAAAUGAGCCCUUUCUUUGGAAACCCUCGCAUCCUAUUUAUAGUAAGGCUGGUCUGCCUCGGUACGCGGGGCGUACGCUCGUACGCAGCGCGUACGCGUACGUCAUGCAUGACCGAAGCCUCGACUGCCUCGGUUCGGAUGGGACGGGUUGCUGGGUACACGGGUCGGAUGGGACGGCGGGUCGGACGGGUCGGGGCUUCGGACAGGUCGGACGGGUCGGUUUCUUCGGAUAGCGCGACGUGGACGAUCAGAGGCCAAUCCUCUCGGUUACGCAGGGCGUACAGGGGUAUGCAGCGCGUACCUCGGAUGAGGACGCUGACUCCCCUUCGGAUAAUAUCCGAAUUUUGAUUAAAAUAAAUAAUUAAUUUAUUUAAUAAACUUCAAAAAUUCAUAUCUUCUUCAUUCGAACUCCGUUUUCGAUGGUCUUUAUAUCCUCGCGUAGGUGAGACUACGCUCUACAACUUUCGUUUAGACUCCGUCGGCAAAUUCCGAAAUUAUUUUUUUAUUAUUUAUUAAAAACCCAUCGUGUUUAAGGAAUUUCUUUGAAAAUUCAUAACUUCUUUAUCUGAUGUCGGUUUUUGCCAGACUUUUUACCGCUUUAAUACUAAUAUCGAGAGCUUCGAUUCUCGUUUAGGUCAUUCCGGCCAAAAGUCGCUCGAUUUUCGAUUCGAGUUUUUAGCUGUCUGUUGCUAAGCCGAACUUGGAAAAAUCAUAACUUCGCUAUAUGAAGUCGGAUUUGGGCGUUCUUUUCACGUACGAUCAUGGUUCAAAGACAUUUAAUCAUAGAAGGAAAUUAAAUAGAACUUAUUUGUACAUUUUAUUAUGAAAGUAAAUUUUAUUACUCAGAAGUGGUUACA